GACGAACGCUGGCGGCGUGCUUAACACAUGCAAGUCGUACGGUAAGGCCCUUUCGGGGGUACACGAGUGGCGAACGGGUGAGUAACACGUGAGUAACCUGCCCACAACUUUGGGAUAACGCUAGGAAACUGGUGCUAAUACUGGAUAUGUGCUCCUGCUGCAUGGUGGGGGUUGGAAAGCUCCGGCGGUUGUGGAUGGACUGGCGGCCUAUCAGCUUGUUGGUGGGGUAGUGGCCUACCAAGGCGGCGACGGGUAGCCGGCCUGAGGGGGUGACCGGCCACAUUGGGACUGAGAUACGGCACAGACUCCUACGGGAGGAAGCAGUGGGGAAUAUUGCACAAUGAGCGCAGGCCGGAUGCAGAAACGCCGCGGGCGGGAUGACGGCCUUCGGGUUGUAAACCGCUUUCAGCAGGAACGAAGCUUUUUGUGACGGUACCUGCAGAAGAAGCACCGGCUAACUACGUG
Molecule: ribosomal RNA, 465 nt
Filed under: uncultured bacterium
Lineage: Bacteria
Description: partial 16S ribosomal RNA
Rfam family: Bacterial small subunit ribosomal RNA
Source: RNAcentral